RNAcentral lists this ribosomal RNA (465 nucleotides) under uncultured bacterium. Its description in RNAcentral is "partial 16S ribosomal RNA". It matches the Rfam family "Bacterial small subunit ribosomal RNA", at positions 338 to 795 of the family's 1533-position model. The record is from RNAcentral.
CCUACGGGCGGCAGCAGUAGGGAAUCUUCCACAAUGGACGAAAGUCUGAUGGAGCAACGCCGCGUGCGUGAAGAAGGGUUUCGGCUCGUAAAGCUCUGUUGGUAGUGACGAAAUAUCGAGGUAGUAACUCGCCUUUAUUUGACGGUACUUACUUAGAAAGUCACGGCUAACUACGUGCCAGCAGCCGCGGUAAUACGUCGGUGGCAAGCGUUGUCCGGAUUUAUUGGGCGUAAAGCGAGUGCAGGCGGUUCAAUAAGUCUGAUGUGAAAGCCUUCGGCUCAACCGGAGAAUUGCAUCAGAUACUGUUGAACUUGAGUGCAGAAGAGGAGAGUGGAACUCAAGGGGUAGCGGUGGAAUGCGUAGAUAUAUGGAAGAACACCAGUGGCGAAGGCAGCUCUCUGGUCUGCAACUGACGUUGAGGCUCGAAAGCAUGGGUAGCGAACAGGAUUAGAUACCCUUGUAGUC